CAGCUCUGAUUCUCACUACCAAAUCCUCUCUCUCUCUCUCUCUGGCCUCUGUAGUCGGCCAUGGAUGCUCAGAGAGCUCUGCUGGACGAGCUGAUGGGUGCAGCUCGUAAUCUUACCGAUGAAGAGAAGAAGAGUUAUAAGGAAAUUACGUGGGAUGAUAAGGAGGUUUGUGUAUUUUAUAUGGUUCGGUUCUGUCCCCAUGACCUGUUCGUCAACACUCGUAGCGAUCUCGGACCAUGCCCUAGAAUUCACGAUCAGAAGUUGAAAGAAAGUUUUGAGAAGUCUCCCAGACACGACUCAUACGUGCCUAAGUUUGAAGCAGAGCUUGCUCAGUUUUGUGAGAAACUGGUGACUGACUUGGACAGAAGAGUUAGGCGUGGGCGAGAACGCCUUGCUCAAGAGGUGGAAGUCACUCCCUCGCCUGCUCCAGUUUCAGCUGAAAAGGCUGAGCAGUUAUCUGUGCUGGAGGAGAAAAUAAAGAACCUGCUGGAACAAGUGGAAACACUGGGAGAAACUGGCAAGGUGGAUGAAGCUGAGGCACUUAUGAGAAAGGUGGAGAUUCUUAAUGCAGAGAAAACCAUCUUGACUCAACAACCUCAGAAUGACAAAGUGCUUAUGCUUGCUCAGGAGAAAAAAAUGGCACUAUGUGAGAUCUGUGGUUCUUUUCUAGUAGCAAAUGAUGCUGCUGAGAGGACUCAGUCCCAUGUCACAGGCAAGCAGCAUAUUGGUUAUGGCAUGGUCAGGGACUUUAUAACCGAGUUCAAGGCUGCCAAGGAGAAGGCAAGGGAAGAGGAAAGAAUAAAAAGGGAGAAAGAAGCAGAAGAACGAAGGAAGCGUAAAGAGAAGGAAUCUGAGAGUAGAGGUAGAAGAAGUGAUUCAAGUGACAGGGACAGGUAUCGUGAUCGUGAUCACGAUCGAGACAGGGAGCGAGACCGGUACCGCGAUCGGGAACGAGAUCGUGAACGAUCUCGGGAGUGGAAUGGUAGAGGAAAUCGGGAUGGGGGAAGAGAGUAUUUCAGAAAUGGAAGAGAUGGAGGCAGGGAUAGGUACCGUGAUCGGAAUUCAAAUAUGGAGUGGGAUAGGAGCAGGUCCCGUUCCCCUGUUAGGUAUGGGCAGCGGAAGUCUCCUAGAAGUCCAGUUCGCCCAUAUUAGUGGACUGUGUAGCCUUAUUGAGCCUAUACCAUCUCCCUACCAUCAAUACUAUUAGAAGAGAAAGGGGUUGAGUUUCUUCUAUCUACGUGUUUUUUGGGUUGCUGCGGAUUACAUUAUUCUUGAAUAGUUAGAAGGACAUGCAAAGUAUUUGAAUGAAUAAUAGUCAUGCUGUAGAAAGAUUCUUUUUCUGUAUUUUAAGAUGCUGCAGUUUGGCAUGUGUUUAGAUGGCAGGGUAAUAUAAUAUAUCAAUCAGGAAUGUUUACUCCAUAUUGGUAGACAUGGAUUGUUAUUCCUUUUCUACAUAAGAAAAAAAAAAAUGGUUUUCCACCCACCUUUGUUGAUGAACUGAUUAUUAAUCAGAAGCUUCUCCCCCUUGAUCAUGGGUUAACCAUUCCUGUUCCAUCUUGGUGAUCAAAUUAUUGGUGUGAUGCAAGAGCUUUGUCUCUGAUAGGGAACUCACUGGCACUGAGAAACGUAAUGUGUGGGGUAGUAACUAUUCUACACCUUUCUGAUUCUAUUCUCGAUGAAAAAAAAUCUUUUUUUUUUCUUAAAUAAUAAUUCUACACAGUUUCAGGUAGUUUUGGGGUUUGAGCUUUUAUAUCAGGAUCAGACAGUGAACACUACUCAUUGAGUAUACCAUAGUGUUGUUUCGGCUGCAUGAAAUCAGUCCCUGGGCUGGGAUGCAUACUUGAAAGUCUUUGCCGCUUCAAAAUAAUUAGAACAGCUACUGUUUGGGGUACUUGAGGUAACUAACACUCUGAUCUGCGGAAUGGUAUAUUUUUGAGUUUAUUCUGCUCCAGGGAACCUUCAUGCCAGGAGUUUUGCCAAUGGUAAGUUGAUGUUUUUGUGUUUGGUGAGGAGUAAUUUGUGCAGGGAAAUGAAUCAAAUGAUUAUAUCGUGAAGUAGCUGCUUGCUGAAGUAAAUGUGAUGAUCAGAGUAAGCAAGUAGGGAGAGAGCCUCAUGUAAUUAAAAUUGGCUUUUGUUGCACUUGUGAUGCUUAAUAAAAGCCAUCUCCAAUUGGUAUUUUGAAAA
RNA transcript from Malania oleifera, 2184 nucleotides. RefSeq lists it as uncharacterized. The record is from RefSeq and is a predicted model, not a curated record. The transcript has 11 exons. NCBI's taxonomy places the organism in Eukaryota, Viridiplantae, Streptophyta, Magnoliopsida, Santalales, Ximeniaceae.